GAUUAAUUAAUCUUUAAUUCUUUACUGCAUUAGAUGUGCAUUGCCUUCUAAUUAAUGUCGUCAUUAUCUACUUACUUUUAUUAGCAAAAUGGAUUAAAUUCAGUAACCCAAAAAAAAAAAAAAAAAAAAAUACCAAAUGUUGACCACUUUGGUCCCAUAAGAUGAUUGCUCUACCACUAUAUAAUGCUAAACAAGACCUUUCUCCAAAUCAUUCCAAAGUUUAUAAUAUUUUCUGUGUUAGAAAGUGCAGUUAAAAAAUAAAUAAAUCAAAAUAUGGCCAAAAUUCUGAUGAAGUCUGCAUUCUUUGUUGCCUUGUUGCUGAUCACCAUGGUUGCAGAUAUUCCAUCCUUCAAGGUUGAAGCAAGUCAUCAAUGUGAUAAGCCAUAUGAUUGUGAAGAACAGUGUCCUAAUAGUCCAGCAGCUGUUUGUAUUUUUCAUAGAUGCGUAUGUUGGUCCAAGAAAAAGCUUGAAGUGGCUACUAUACAAGGAGUGAUAAAUCCUAAAAAAUGAUGUGUUUAAUUUGAUAGAAUUGUACUAAUAUGGGUAUGUAAACUCUGAGAUCUUGAACUUGAGUAAUAUAUAAGUACAUGUUUUAAUAUUUA
Long non-coding RNA from Lycium ferocissimum, 602 nucleotides. RefSeq lists it as uncharacterized. NCBI's taxonomy places the organism in Eukaryota, Viridiplantae, Streptophyta, Magnoliopsida, Solanales, Solanaceae. The record is from RefSeq and is a predicted model, not a curated record. The transcript is spliced from 2 exons.